GACUACUGGGGUAUCUAAUCCCGAUCGCUCCCCACGCUUUCGUCCCUGAGCGUCAGUUUCAGAGUAGGAAACCGCCUUCGCUACUGGUGUUCCUGCCAAUAUCUACGCAUUCCACCGCUACACUGGCAGUUCCGUUUCCCCCCUCUGAACUCAAAGUUAAACAGUUUCAGUCCCAAUUCUCUGGUUGAGCCAGAGUAUUUCAAAACUGACACGCUUAACCGCCUGCGGACCCUUUACACCCAAUAAAUCCGGGUAACGCUUGCCCCCCCCGUAUUACCGCGGCUGCUGGCACGGAAUUAGCCGGGGCUUCCUUUAACGGUACCGUCUUCCGCCUAAGCGGAUUCUUCCCGUUUGACAGAGUUUUAAGACCCGAAGGCCUUCAUCACUCACGCGGCGUCGCUGGAUCACCCUUGCGGGCAUUGUCCAAUAUUCCUCACUGCAGCCCCCCGUAGG
Molecule: ribosomal RNA, 453 nt
Filed under: uncultured bacterium
Lineage: Bacteria
Description: partial 16S ribosomal RNA
Source: RNAcentral